Non-coding RNA from Rattus norvegicus (Norway rat), 69 nucleotides. Lineage: Eukaryota; Metazoa; Chordata; Mammalia; Rodentia; Muridae. The record is from Rfam.
GGAGAUUUAGCUCAGUGGUAGAGCUCUUGCCUAUCAAGCGCAAGGCCCUGGGUUCGGUCCCCAGCUCCG